RNAcentral lists this ribosomal RNA (253 nucleotides) under uncultured bacterium. Its description in RNAcentral is "partial 16S ribosomal RNA". It matches the Rfam family "Bacterial small subunit ribosomal RNA", at positions 524 to 776 of the family's 1533-position model. The record is from RNAcentral.
UACGAAGGGGGCUAGCGUUGCUCGGAAUCACUGGGCGUAAAGGGUGCGUAGGCGGGUCUUUAAGUCAGGGGUGAAAUCCUGGAGCUCAACUCCAGAACUGCCUUUGAUACUGAAGAUCUUGAGUUCGGGAGAGGUGAGUGGAACUGCGAGUGUAGAGGUGAAAUUCGUAGAUAUUCGCAAGAACACCAGUGGCGAAGGCGGCUCACUGGCCCGAUACUGACGCUGAGGAGCGAAAGCCAGGGGGGCAAACGGG